CAGCCGCCGCGGUAAAACCAGCACCUCAAGUGGUCAGGAUGAUUAUUGGGCCUAAAGCAUCCGUAGCCCGUUUUGUAAGUUUUCGGUUAAAUCCAUGCGCUUAACGUAUGGGCUGCCGGGAAUACUGCAUAACUAGGAAGUGGGAGAGGUAGACGGUACUCGGUAGGAAGGGGUAAAAUCCUUUGAUCUAUUGAUGACCACCUGUGGCGAAGGCGGUCUACCAGAACACGUUCGACGGUGAGGGAUGAAAGCUGGGGGAGCAAACCGGAUUAGAUACCCGGGUAGUCCCAGCUGUAAACUAUGCAAACUCAGUGAUGCAUUGGCUUAUGGCCAAUGCAGUGCUGCAGGGAAGCCGUUAAGUUUGCCGCCUGGGAAGUACGUACGCAAGUAUGAAACUUAAAGGAAUUGGCGGGGGAGCACCA
Molecule: ribosomal RNA, 422 nt
Filed under: uncultured archaeon
Lineage: Archaea
Description: bacterial SSU rRNA
Rfam family: Archaeal small subunit ribosomal RNA
Source: RNAcentral